This is a non-coding RNA of Megalobrama amblycephala (Wuchang bream), 720 nucleotides long. Lineage: Eukaryota; Metazoa; Chordata; Actinopteri; Cypriniformes; Xenocyprididae. The record is from the annotation of a RefSeq genome assembly.
UUAUUUGCAUUAUCUGUUGGAACCCUUACACAGAUUUACAUAGAGAUUAUUUGCAUCGCAGCACAAGCUUCAGGAGGAUUUAUAACUCUGUUUUUAUAAGAACUUUAUAACUCUGUGAAUCUGAACCAACAGCAACCAUGAGCUUCAUCACCAUCUUCAUCUGGAUAUUAACUAUCUACUGUUUCACAGAAUCAAGAGGUGAAGUGACAGUCACUCAGACGCCUGCAGUGAAAUCUGUUCGUCCAGGAGACUCAGUUACUGUAUCCUGUAAAACCAGUCCUGAAGUCUAUCAGGGUUGGAGUGUUCAACCUCUAGCCUGGUACUUACAGAAACCUGGAGAAGCUCCUAAACUCCUGAUUUAUUAUGCAAACACCCUCCAGUCAGGAACUCCAUCUAGAUUCAGUGGCAGUGGAUCUAACAGUGAUUUCACUCUGACCAUCAGUGGAGUCCAGACUGAAGAUGCUGGACAUUAUUACUGUCAGAGUUACCACUGGAUCAACAGUAACAAUGUGUUCACACAGUGAUAAAGAGUCGUACAAAAACCUCCGUCAGUCAGAGUCACAGUGACUGAACUGAUACUGCAGCUGCUCACACACUUUCACACACUUUCACACACACUCAACAGUCAAGAUUUUCUUGGAUAUUAACUAAAAUAUAAAGAAUUAACUUCAGUUUUUCACGUUAAGUAUUUUAACACUUUAUCUUAAUAAAUGUAUCUAA